Molecule: unclassified non-coding RNA, 390 nt
Filed under: soil metagenome
Description: partial contains 5.8S ribosomal RNA, internal transcribed spacer 2, and large subunit ribosomal RNA
Rfam family: 5.8S ribosomal RNA (bases 1-122)
Source: RNAcentral
GAUGAAGAACGUAGCGAAAUGCGAUACUUGGUGUGAAUUGCAGAAUCCCGUGAACCAUCGAGUCUUUGAACGCAAGUUGCGCCCGAAGCCAUUAGGCCGAGGGCACGCCUGCCUGGGCGUCACACGUCGUUGCCCCCCCAUCUACUCCUUCGGGAUUGCGGGGGGCGGAUGAUGGCCUCCCGUGCGCCUCGCCGCGCGGUUGGCAUAAUGCCAAGUCCUCGGCGACGCACGCCACGACAAUCGGUGGUUGCGAAACCUCGGUUGCCCGUCGUGUGCGGUCGUCGCGCAUCGAGGGCUCGAAAAAAUUGCCGGGUUCCGGCUCGGCUUUCAACGCGACCCCAGGUCAGGCGGGGUUACCCGCUGAAUUUAAGCAUAUCAAUAAGCGGAGGA